This is an RNA transcript of Lycium ferocissimum, 1382 nucleotides long. RefSeq lists it as uncharacterized. NCBI's taxonomy places the organism in Eukaryota, Viridiplantae, Streptophyta, Magnoliopsida, Solanales, Solanaceae. The transcript has 4 exons. The record is from RefSeq and is a predicted model, not a curated record.
CCACCUUUAACAUUUCAUUUCAUACCAAACACACCCCUACCACCUCCUCUCUCCUCUCUUUCCCUCUUUCACCUAAAAACCCUAGAAGCCGUCCUCAUUUUCUCUCUCUCGCCUUGCCAAAAAUGGCAAAAGUUCAAAGGUUUCAGAGCUCAAUCAGUUUUUGUACGUCCGUUUGCGGCAAAGAAUUAAUGCAUCCAUCCUAUUUCCACUCAUUCUCACCAAACACCGCCUUAGAGAGGAGAGGAAGCACAAAGGCUUUCAAACCCAUUCCUGCUCGCAGUUGCACAUCAAAAAGAAGUUUUGCUGAACUUAGGAGUCACAAUUCCCCUUCAUUACAUCUCAGGUUGGCUUGAGUUUUGCUUUUCUUAUUGUACACUUCCUUUUAUAUGUUUAGGGGUGUACUCACCAGUGUGUUUCCCUUCUCCUCUUUGAUUAAAUUAAAACCAAGUUGUAAAUGGUUAUCCAUGUCUAUCUUUGUCUCAUUGAAACCUGCUAAGGUCAUGAAUUAUUUGGUGUUGUCCUGUCUAUUUAAACAUGUUAGAUUCUUGUUUUUUGUAUCAUGUUUGAUGGCUUAAAAAUGCUUCUGUGCCUUUUUCUUGUCUAAAUGAAUGCAUUUGCAUUCCCAAUGACCAUAGCAAGCUGAGUAUUGGUCUAGUUUUUUCCCUGUAUCUGUUUGAAUAGUUACUGAACAAUGCAGGACUAUACAUGAAAUUGAUAAAAGAGGAGAGGUAUAUACGUGGUAUACAUCUGAUAUACAUAGCAAAUGUGUAUAUCAAGCGUAUAUGAUGUGUAUAAACAAAUUAGUUAGCCAUGGUGUACAAUGUAUAUCAGCGAGUGUAAAGGAAAUAGGUUCCAUAUUUGCUUUAAUGCUAAAACUCAAAACUAACUUAAUAUGAAUAUGGCCCUGGUCCAUUCUAGAUAGUAUAAAGAAUAGCCCAUGUCCCAUGAUUAGUAGAAAUAAAGAAACAAUAGGAGUUCGGGUAGAAUUAAUGAGAUGUAUGUAUAUAUGUAUGCUCUUGUGUAUAUUUGGUAAGAUCAAUGGUAUAUUUUCUAACUGGAUUCCCUUUUUUUUUUUUUUUUUUUUUUUUUUGUGUGUCUCCUCCUCCACUGCAUGACCACUUGGGCCAAGUCAAAGCCAACCUGUUGGGCCAAGGCCCAACAGGCAAUUCUUUCGCAUUAUUAUGGAGUCCAGCGAAGAAAAAGGAAGCAAAUAUUAUAAGUACGCGUGAAGGCCCUGCGAUGGGUGAAAAUGGCCAACUAGGGGCUUGGUACGCCCCUAGCCUGCCCCUUUCUCUUUUAUUAUCAUUAUUUUAUCAUUUUAAUUUGUUGUGUUUGCACUUGUGAUACUUGUAAAAAAUUAUUGGAAUCUUUGGUUUGAACUA